CCGCCCGUCACACCAUGGGAGUUGGUUCUACCCGAAGCCGGUGCGCUAACCCGCCCAGGAAACUGAGUGGGAGGCAGCCGACCACGGUAGGGUCAGCGACUGGGGUG
This 107-nucleotide ribosomal RNA is filed under the name uncultured bacterium. Its description in RNAcentral is "partial 16S ribosomal RNA". The record is from RNAcentral.